Molecule: ribosomal RNA, 253 nt
Filed under: uncultured bacterium
Lineage: Bacteria
Description: partial 16S ribosomal RNA
Rfam family: Bacterial small subunit ribosomal RNA
Source: RNAcentral
UACGUAGGGUGCGAGCGUUAAUCGGAAUUACUGGGCGUAAAGCGUGCGCAGGCGGUUUUGCAAGCCGGAUGUGAAAUCCCCGGGCUUAACCUGGGAAUGGCAUUUGGGACUGCAAGGCUGGAGUGCGGCAGAGGAGACUGGAAUUCCUGGUGUAGCAGUGAAAUGCGUAGAUAUCGGGAGGAACACCAGUGGCGAAGGCGACUUCCUGGCCUGUUCUUGACGCUGAGGCGCGAAAGCUAGGGGAGCAAACGGG